GGUGCCAUGGCCGCUGGAAUGGCAUAGGUGAGGCAUCACUGAAGUUGACGGUUCGAGUCCGUCUGGUACCG
This 71-nucleotide transfer RNA is filed under the name [Eubacterium] cellulosolvens 6. RNAcentral describes it as "tRNA-OTHER". Lineage: Bacteria; Bacillati; Bacillota; Clostridia; Eubacteriales; Eubacteriaceae. The record is from RNAcentral.